CGGACGGGUGAGUAAUGCCUAGGAAUCUGCCUAGUGGUGGGGGAUAACGUUCGGAAACGGACGCUAAUACCGCAUACGUCCUACGGGAGAAAGCGGGGGAUCUUCGGACCUCGCGCCAUUAGAUGAGCCUAGGUCGGAUUAGCUAGUUGGUGAGGUAAUGGCUCACCAAGGCGACGAUCCGUAACUGGUCUGAGAGGAUGAUCAGUCACACUGGAACUGAGACACGGUCCAGACUCCUACGGGAGGCAGCAGUGGGGAAUAUUGGACAAUGGGCGAAAGCCUGAUCCAGCCAUGCCGCGUGUGUGAAGAAGGUCUUCGGAUUGUAAAGCACUUUAAGUUGGGAGGAAGGGUAGUAACCUAAUACGUUGCUACUUUGACGUUACCGACAGAAUAAGCACCGGCUAACUUCGUGCCAGCAGCCGCGGUAAUACGAAGGGUGCAAGCGUUAAUCGGAAUUACUGGGCGUAAAGCGCGCGUAGGUGGUUCAGCAAGUUGGAUGUGAAAGCCCUGGGCUCAACCUGGGAACUGCAUCCAAAACUACUGAGCUAGAGUACGGUAGAGGGUAGUGGAAUUUCCUGUGUAGCGGUGAAAUGCGUAGAUAUAGGAAGGAACACCAGUGGCGAAGGCGACUACCUGGACUGAUACUGACACUGAGGUGCGAAAGCGUGGGGAGCAAACAGGAUUAGAUACCCUGGUAGUCCACGCCGUAAACGAUGUCGACUAGCCGUUGGGAUCCUUGAGAUCUUAGUGGCGCAGCUAACGCAUUAAGUCGACCGCCUGGGGAAUACGGCCGCAAGGUUAAAACUCAAAUGAAUUGACGGGGGCCCGCACAAGCGGUGGAGCAUGUGGUUUAAUUCGAAG
This 861-nucleotide ribosomal RNA is filed under the name uncultured microorganism. RNAcentral's name for it is "bacterial SSU rRNA". It matches the Rfam family "Bacterial small subunit ribosomal RNA", at positions 99 to 956 of the family's 1533-position model. The record is from RNAcentral.